Molecule: ribosomal RNA, 379 nt
Filed under: Apusomonadidae sp.
Lineage: Eukaryota; Apusomonadida; Apusomonadidae
Description: partial small subunit ribosomal RNA
Rfam family: Eukaryotic small subunit ribosomal RNA
Source: RNAcentral
AUUCCAGCUCCAGUAGUGUAUAUCAAAGUUGUUGCGGUUAAAAAGCUCGUAGUUGGAUUUUUCGGGUUUUUCCGGGGCGGUACGUGGUCUUUGAACUGCGUGUGUUCCGGGUCCGGUGCUCGCUGUGCCCUCAAGGGUGUAGUGGGAUGUACUUUGAACAAAUUAGAGUGCUCAAGACAGGCAAUUUUAUUAUGUGCUGUGAAUAGAUUAGCAUGGAAUACGGGUAUAGACUCUCUUCUCGGGAUUGUUGUUUUGACGAGGAGGGGGAAUGAUGGAUAGGGAUAGGUGUGGGCAUUGAGAUUGUUUCGUCAGAGGUGAAAUUCUUAGAUCGGAGCAGGAUUAGCAGACGCGAAAGCAUUUGUCAAGGAUGUUUUCAUUA